RNAcentral lists this ribosomal RNA (727 nucleotides) under Fictibacillus barbaricus. RNAcentral's name for it is "bacterial SSU rRNA". It matches the Rfam family "Bacterial small subunit ribosomal RNA", at positions 18 to 728 of the family's 1533-position model. The record is from RNAcentral. Lineage: Bacteria; Bacillati; Bacillota; Bacilli; Caryophanales; Fictibacillaceae.
CCUGGCUCAGGAUGAACGCUGGCGGCGUGCCUAAUACAUGCAAGUCGAGCGAAUGAUGAGGAGCUUGCUCCUCUGAUUUAGCGGCGGACGGGUGAGUAACACGUGGGUAAUCUGCCUGUAAGACGGGGAUAACUCCGGGAAACCGGGGCUAAUACCGGAUAACAAAAGGAAAUGCAUAUUUCCUUUUUGAAAGUCGGUUUCGGCUGACACUUACAGAUGAGCCCGCGGCGCAUUAGCUAGUUGGUGAGGUAACGGCUCACCAAGGCGACGAUGCGUAGCCGACCUGAGAGGGUGAUCGGCCACACUGGGACUGAGACACGGCCCAGACUCCUACGGGAGGCAGCAGUAGGGAAUCUUCGGCAAUGGGCGAAAGCCUGACCGAGCAACGCCGCGUGAGCGAUGAAGGCCUUCGGGUCGUAAAGCUCUGUUGUUAGAGAAGAACAAGUACGAGAGUAACUGCUCGUACCUUGACGGUACCUAACCAGAAAGCCACGGCUAACUACGUGCCAGCAGCCGCGGUAAUACGUAGGUGGCAAGCGUUAUCCGGAAUUAUUGGGCGUAAAGCGCGCGCAGGCGGUCUCUUAAGUCUGAUGUGAAAGCCCACGGCUCAACCGUGGAGGGUCAUUGGAAACUGGGAGACUUGAGUGCAGGAGAGAAAAGUGGAAUUCCACGUGUAGCGGUGAAAUGCGUAGAGAUGUGGAGGAACACCAGUGGCGAAGGCGGCUUU